Molecule: long non-coding RNA, 1348 nt
Organism: Brassica napus (rape)
Lineage: Eukaryota; Viridiplantae; Streptophyta; Magnoliopsida; Brassicales; Brassicaceae
Exons: 2
Source: RefSeq, a predicted model, not a curated record
UUGGUAUUAUCUAAACCGAAUUGUAAAGUGGACCAUGAAAAACCCUGCACUUGAGAAUUCUUAACAUAGUGAAUCAGAUUCGACAGUAUAAAGAUGGAACCUUUGGAGCUAACUUCUCGAAUCUUUUCUCUUGUCAAUAGCUCGAAACCAGGUUAGUCUUCUUCUUCUUCUUAAUACGCCUUUCAUUGUUUAAGCUAUUGUCACUGACUGACUUAUGUUUUGCUUGAGAGCUCCUCCUCUGUUUUGGUCUGUCUAGCAUUCUCCUUCUUGUCACUUAUUUGCAUACCUAUCUCUAUGUAUGUUAAUUUCUCUAAAAGUUUUUGUCUUUCAUGCUUGGAUCAUGGUAAUAUUGUGCGCCUAUAUUGCUUCUGAAACAGAGCUCAGUUUCUGAAACAGAAACUUCAUGUUCAUGUAUACAUAAGUAGGCUGCAAAAUUUUGUCUUUGGGGUAUAAUGGUCAUGACAAUUAGUCUCAAGUCCAUUUCUUGAAUGCUAUAGAUUAUAUCACACCAACACUAAUGAAAAUAAGAGUGACUAAAGCAGCUGUGCUUGACUUGUAGUUCUGAAGAUUUGAAGUUAAAGUUAGUGUAAUUGGAGAAGGAACUAUUUUCUAAUGUUUUUUUGAAAAAAAUUUCUCUUUGAAAGUGAGAAUAAACUGUCCAUGGAUAAUUGUGGGAGUACUGGGAGGUGGACAGUUGGGUCGUAUGAUUUGCCAAGCUGCUUCCCAAAUGGCUAUAAAGGUUACGAUUUUAGAUCCUUCAGAGAAUUGCUCAGCAAGUUCAUUGUCCUACGGUCACAUGGUUCAUAGCUUGACGACAGUGCUACUGUAGAACUGAGAAGAGGUAAGCACUUCUCUCUAUCGUUCAGGUAAAGCACUCAUUGCUUCAUGUUUCACUUAAGCUAUUAAUUGCUUGCAGUUUUUCAAACAUUUAUCUUUCUUUGGGGGGUGUUCCUGUGGCGACAGUUGCAAUAAACAACUCCCCACCCAUGCAGCAUUGCUUGCUAUCCGGAUGCUUGGGAUCUCUGUUACUGAUCUUGUCUCAAGGAUGAGUCAGUACAGGGAAGACAUGAGAGAAGAGAACAUGGUUAAAGGAGAGAAACUUGAGCGAGAAGGUUGAGAAUCGUAUCUGAACCAUUGAGCAGAACUCUCAUAGGUUACCAGAUAACCGGUUGAGUGAUUGAUUUUGCUGACAAGAAGUUCUUACCGAGGGAUCUGAGAGCAUUCUUGAGUUGUUGUCACAAGUAGUUUCAGUUUAGCUUCUUGAAGUUAAGGCACAGCUGAAUCUGUCUCCACAGAGAUGUCGAUGUAAACCGAUAUAUCAUUAUCAAGUAUAACCAUAUUGAACCGG